Molecule: long non-coding RNA, 520 nt
Filed under: Elaeis guineensis (African oil palm)
Lineage: Eukaryota; Viridiplantae; Streptophyta; Magnoliopsida; Arecales; Arecaceae
Description: long non-coding RNA (EGUI_LNC039194)
Source: RNAcentral
UCCCAUUUUCUGUUUCAAACAUAAAACGCUAGUUAACCAAAAAACUGGGUACUAUGUUUCCCAAACUAAUAAUAAAACCAAUUAAAUCUAAAAACUAUAUUAAACCACCAAUAUUUCCCAAUUUUUUAAUUCCAAAAAUGCCCAUAUUUGUUUUUACUUUUUAUUUUCAUGACUUUUUUUAGUACAAAUUACAAGGUCUCUUGAAUAAAAGUAUAUAAGAUUUUCCUCAUUCGAUGUGGGUUCAUCUUUAAGUGUGAUCUUGCCCGUGAUCUAUAUUCAUAUACAAGGUUCUACAAUCUAAUUUUACUUACUAUAGAAAUAAAAAAAGGAAAGAGUUCUAAAGCCUAUCCUAGAAGGAUUAAAUCUCAAACUAGAUUUGAGAGUCUCAGAGCAGUAACUUCACACUGAGCAAAGUCUAUGCAACCGGUACAAUAAUACAUCACAAGGAGUUCAAGAUUUUUCAUCACAACCCAUCAUCUCUCUCAAAUUCUAUUUUCCCACGUCUCUUUUCUCAGCUCUC